AGCCAGGUGCCUUCAUACUUGGUUACUUCUGCUCAAUGGUAAGCUAAAUAGCCGCAGUACCCUGACUGUGCAAAGGUAGCAUAAUCAUUUGGCUUAUAAUUGAAGUCUAGCAUGAAAGAAAUUAUGGGUAGCAACUGUCUUCUACAGAUCUUUAGAAUUUACUAAGUAGGUGAAAAUUCCUAUAGACUAAUAAUAGACGAGAAGACCCUAGAAAUUUUAAUAUAAAAGUAUUCUAUUUGACUUACUAUUUUGUUGGGGCGACAGAAUAACAGUUGAACUUAUUUUAAUUUAUUUGUACUAAUUUUUGAGGAAAACUAAAUUACUCUAGGGAUAACAGCAUAAUUUAUUAAAGUUUGUGACCUCGAUGUUGGACUAGGGUUUUUAAUAAUCAGAAGUUAUUAAAUUAGGCUCUGUUCGAGCUUUAUUCCCU
Molecule: ribosomal RNA, 430 nt
Filed under: Xerocrassa mesostena
Lineage: Eukaryota; Metazoa; Mollusca; Gastropoda; Stylommatophora; Geomitridae
Description: partial 16S ribosomal RNA
Rfam family: Bacterial large subunit ribosomal RNA
Source: RNAcentral